Molecule: long non-coding RNA, 4113 nt
Organism: Anguilla rostrata (American eel)
Lineage: Eukaryota; Metazoa; Chordata; Actinopteri; Anguilliformes; Anguillidae
Exons: 5
Source: RefSeq, a predicted model, not a curated record
UUUCAUUAAAUAUUUUAAAGAAGAAGCGGUUUAAAAAUAAAGAGGUUUAAUUAUUUGAGUGAGAUGCAGGCACUCAGCCUUAAAUGACAUAAAAAGGCAUCUGUGUUGAUACUAGGAGAAGGAUUUAACCCUAGAAAAGGCUUUAGUUGGACCUACUAAGGAUUACUGAAUUAUCCUUGUAAGCAUUAUUGACUGAAUGUAAGCUUUAUAUCCGUCAGUAAGCACAAAGCAUUAAGGUUAUGAUUAUGCCACACCUUCACACUGGCAACAGCAGGAAGUGAACCCCCAUGGCCUGAAGCCAGUUUUGCGAGUACAUGCACAUUCGCGAUAUGAAGGAGAAGGGCAAUACAGUUAUCUUCGUCUCUCAGCUGAGUACCAUGUGCACAACUCUGCAUGCUGUCAUUGUAGUCAUGUGCAUAUCCACCAUUAUUUUGAGUGAUGCGACCACCAUAACUCAGAAAAAGGCUGUUGUGCGGAGGGAAGGAGACAGCGUUCACAUAAAGUGUGAACAGGAUGGCACAGACCAACAAAUGUACUGGUACAGGCAGGGCCAUCAAAACGGCCUGGAGCUUAUCUUCUUCUCACGGAUGGAGGGUGUGGACACAGAGAAGCUUGUGGUUGAGGACAGAUUCACAGCCACCAGAGAGAACAGACAGCGUUUCCAUCUAAACGGAACCAAGCUGCAACCUCAAGACUCAGCUGUGUACUUCUGUGCCUCCAGUUUACACAGUGCCCAAAAGUAAUGUGUUGCCAAUGCCAAAACCAUCGGAGAUCUGGCCACUAGAGGCCAGUAUCACUGAAGUCAUUGCACUAAUGUAUACCCUUUGUAUUUAUUUGUUUACUUGUUCCAUUUACUCUAGAUAAGAUGAAUGCAUGACUCUACAUAUAUUUACAUUCUGCUUUAGUAUGCCUUGAAGUCAGAACACAAUGUGUUUUAGUGGGAAAAAGCAGAAUAUAAUAUAAGACAGGAAAACAACUUUAACAGCUGUUUUUGCACUGACCUAAAAAGAAGGCAUCGCCAAUUUACAGAAAUACCUUUCCUCCUGCAAAACCAGCCUUGAUAAGCUAUGCCAACUGUUGAUGGGAAAGUCUGUACUGUUUUCAAAUCAUCCAAAAAACUGCAGGCCUCUCUAGCCUCAGCCAAGGUGAAUAAGAAAGAGACUGGGCAAUAUCAAAAAUGAGAGUCAUAGGAGGCAAGGCGAAAACAGCUGCUAACAAUGAAAAACCUAAUUUCUUGUCUCACAUUUGAAAAAAAAAGCACCUGGAUGAUCCCCAAGCCUUUUUGGAUGAUGUUAUUUGGACACAUGAGUCAAAAGUGUAACUUUUUGGAUGAAAUGGGUCCUACUAUAUCUGGCAUAAAACAAAUACAGCAUUUCACAGUACAAACACCAUACCAACAGUCAAACGUGGUAGUACUGCGAUCGUGUGGGGAUGCUGUGCUGCCUGAAGACCUGGAUGACUUGCCAUUAUUGAAGGAACCAUGAAUUCUGCUCUGUACCAGAACAUUUUUUGGGAGAAAGUCCAGUCAUCUGUCUGUGAGCUGAAGCUGACGCAUAGUUAAAUUAUGCAGCAAGUCAGUGAUCCAGAACACAAAAGCAAGUUCACGUCUGGCUGACUGUAAAGAAACAAAAUUAAAGUUUUGGAUUGGCUUAUUCAAAGUCCUGACUUGAACCCAACAGAGAUGCUAUGGCAGGACCUGAAAUGAGUGGUUCAUGCACAAGAAUGUACCAAUGUGCCUGAAUUAAAGCAGUUCUGUAAAGAGUAGUGGGCUAAAACUCCUCCACAGUGAUGUGAACGACAGAUAUCAAAUUAUAGGAAGCGUUUAGUUGCAGUUAUUUAUGCUAAAGGUGGUGUAAUCAGUGAAGAGGUUUAAAGAGGAUAUCAUUAUUUCACACGAGUGAUAUGGGUGUUUAGUAACUUUUUUAAGUAAAUAAAUGACAUUAUAUUAAAAAUGUGUUUUGUGUUAACUGGGGUUCCCUUUGUUUUAUAUUACAGUUUAUCGUAAGAUGUGAAACCAUUCAUUGUUACAAAUAUGCAAUAAUAGAGGAAAUCAGGAAGGGGUUUUGAGUGAUGCGACCACCAUAACUCAGAAAAAGGCUGUUGUACAGAGGGAAGGAGACAGCGUUCACAUAAAGUGUGAACAGGAUGGCAAUGACCAACAAAUGUACUGGUACAGGCAGGGCCAUCAAAACGGCCUGGAGCUUAUCUUCUUCUCACCGAUGGAUGGUCUGAACACAGAGAAGCUUGUGGUUGAGAACAGAUUCACAGCCACCAGAGAGAACAGACAGCGUUUCCAUCUAAACGUAACCAAGCUGCAACCUCAAGACUCAGCUGUGUACUUCUGUGCCUCCAGUUUACACAGUGCCCAAAAGUAAUGUGUUGCCAAUGCCAAAACCAUCGGAGAUCUGGCCGCUAGAGGCCAGUAUCACUGAAGGUAUUGCACUAAAUUAUGUCCUUUGUAUUUAUUUGUUCGCUCGUUCCAUUUACUCUUGGUAAGAUGAAAGCAAGACUCCACAUAUAUGCACAUUUCUUCUAAAGCUCACACUGCUUUAGUAUGCCUUGAAGUCAGAACACAACGUGUUUUAGUGGGGAAAAACAAAAUAAAAUAUAAGAGAGGAAAACAACUUUACCAGCUGUUUUAGCACUGGCCUAAAAAAGGCAUUGCCCAUUUACAGAAAUACCUUUGCCCCUGUAAAACCAGCCUUGAUCAGCUAGACCAACUGUUGAUGUGAAAGUCUGGAUUGUUUUCAGAUCAUCAAAAAAAUUUGCAGGCCUCUCUAAACUCAACUAAGGUGAGUUUUCAUGACUCCACAAUUAGAAAGAGACUGGGCAAUUUAAAAAAUGAGAGCCAUAUGAGGCAAGGCUAAAACAGCUGCUAACCAAGAAAAACAUAAUUUCUUGUCUCACAUUUGCAAAAAAGCACCUGGAUGAUCCCCAAGCCUUUUGGGAUGUUAUUUGGACAGAUGAGUCGAAAGUGUACCUUUUUGGAUGAAAUGGGUCCUACUAUAUCUGGCAUUAAACAAAUACAGCAUUUCACAGUACAAACACCAUACCAACAGUCAAACGGGGUGGUACUGCGAUCGUGUGGGGAUGCUGUGCUGCCUGAAGACCUGGAUGACUUGCCAUUAUUGAAGGAACCAUGAAUUCUGCUCUGUACCAGAAAAUUAUUCGGCAGUCCAGUCAUCUGUCUGUGAGCUGAAGCUGAAGCAUAGUUAAAUUAUGCAGCAAGUCAAUGAUCCAGAACACAGUGAUAUGGGUGUUUGGUAACUUUUAAUUAAAUAAAUGACAUUAUAUUAAAAAUGUGUUUUGUGUUAACUCGGUUUCCCUUUGUCUUAUAUUUCAGUUUGUCUAAAGAUGUGAAACCAUUCAUUGUUACAAAUAUGCAGUAAUAGAGGAAAUCAGGAAGGGGUACUAUACCUGCGCGAAGACGGACUGGAAGGGCAGGUUUGUUAUUGUUCAUAAAGCUGACCCGCUGAAAUGGUGCGAGCCGAAAGGCGACGACAACGUCACACAGAAGCAGGAGCUGAUGGAGCGCUCUCAGGGAUUCAUUGUUCAAUCUCAGGUUAUAGGCAUAGCUCUGCUCUUGCCUACAUGUUUGGGACUCAUCGUGUAUGGGAUCCGACAAUGCCGCAUGAAAAAAGAAGCAAACCAGGAUACAGACAGUUGUGAGAUGACCUGAAUUGUCCUGCUGCCUUUCAUCUUUGCCUAUUAAGUCACAUUUGGAGGUUUUCUUUAUCACUGCUGUACAGAAAACUUGCAAAAUUAUCUUCAUUUAUUACGUAUCAUCACUGUUUUGUAAAUUCUUAAGGGAACCUUUUCUCUUUUUUUAUGAACAACUCUGCUCUGACUUUUAAUGGACUGAUUUCAUGGAUUUUACUUCAGAAUGAUUGUAAUUUGAUUGUAAUUUCAGAAUAUAUGUUAAAUGAUUACAUUUUAAAACACCUUUUUACUUUCUAGCAAAGCCAGAGUAUACUGUAUUGGCUUUGUGAAUUUUUUGUCUGAAUAAUGUAUGAAAAAACUUGAAAUAUAUCUCAUUAUUAUACUAAGGUUCAUCUGAUUCCCUUGAUUAGGGUUAUUGAAGAGUCACUAUCAAAUAAAAAGUGCCUGUCUUGA